The sequence is a ribozyme, 267 nucleotides long. It matches the Rfam family "Nuclear RNase P". Rfam says of the family: Ribonuclease P (RNase P) is a ubiquitous endoribonuclease, found in archaea, bacteria and eukarya as well as chloroplasts and mitochondria. Its best characterised activity is the generation of mature 5'-ends of tRNAs by cleaving the 5'-leader elements of precursor-tRNAs. Cellular RNase Ps are ribonucleoproteins. The record is from Ensembl.
GCCUGUUUCAUCAGCAGGGCCACGUACUGAGUGCUUGUCACUCCCUGGCUCCUGGGAAGGUCUGAGACUGGGGCCUCCUGCAGCCCUAACCAGGCCUUUCCCAAGUGGGGAGGUGAGUUCCCAGAGAGCAGGGCUCCAUGUGUGGUCUAUAGACCAUCCCUCUCGUGCAUGGUGGCUGGUAGGACCAGUUCUUCCUUUAUGACAGCUGGUGAAUAGGGGCAGACCGUUCUCCCAGGGCCAUCAAAAGUUGGACCAAUUCUCUCAUGC